Mytilus californianus (California mussel) is the source of this 363-nucleotide long non-coding RNA. RefSeq lists it as uncharacterized. The record is from RefSeq and is a predicted model, not a curated record. The transcript is spliced from 2 exons. NCBI's taxonomy places the organism in Eukaryota, Metazoa, Mollusca, Bivalvia, Mytilida, Mytilidae.
AAAAUAUGUCAAAUAAUGCUUUCUUCCUGUUAAAGUUCAAUCAAUUCACAAAUAAGUAUACACUUAAAAAACGCAUGACCAUGUGAGACUUUUCACUUUUGUUUUUCCCCAAAAUACUUAAUAUGUUUUAAAUAUAAAAUUAAGCAUGCAAAGAAGAGGUCAUUUUCUGAAAUAAAGAUUUCCUAAAAAAUAAACAAAUUAAAGCAUGUGUUUAAAUAAGAGUAUCUCCCACAUGAAUUGUCAUUCCAGGGCUUAAAUUUCCUAUCAUGAUAUCCUUGAUAGAGGGUUACUGCUUACUAGAACGCUUAUAUUACACUUAUGGUUCUGAAUGGUAAAGUUGAAGUCAUCCCUAUGAAAGAUUAA